AGAGUUUGAUCAUGGCUCAGAUUGAACGCUGGCGGCAGGCCUAACACAUGCAAGUCGAGCGGUAGCACAGAGAGCUUGCUCUCGGGUGACGAGCGGCGGACGGGUGAGUAAUGUCUGGGAAACUGCCUGAUGGAGGGGGAUAACUACUGGAAACGGUAGCUAAUACCGCAUAAUGUCGCAAGACCAAAGUGGGGGACCUUCGGGCCUCAUGCCAUCAGAUGUGCCCAGAUGGGAUUAGCUAGUAGGUGGGGUAACGGCUCACCUAGGCGACGAUCCCUAGCUGGUCUGAGAGGAUGACCAGCCACACUGGAACUGAGACACGGUCCAGACUCCUACGGGAGGCAGCAGUGGGGAAUAUUGCACAAUGGGCGCAAGCCUGAUGCAGCCAUGCCGCGUGUAUGAAGAAGGCCUUCGGGUUGUAAAGUACUUUCAGCGGGGAGGAAGGCGAUAAGGUUAAUAACCUUGUCGAUUGACGUUACCCGCAGAAGAAGCACCGGCUAACUCCGUGCCAGCAGCCGCGGUAAUACGGAGGGUGCAAGCGUUAAUCGGAAUUACUGGGCGUAAAGCGCACGCAGGCGGUCUGUCAAGUCGGAUGUGAAAUCCCCGGGCUCAACCUGGGAACUGCAUUCGAAACUGGCAGGCUAGAGUCUUGUAGAGGGGGGUAGAAUUCCAGGUGUAGCGGUGAAAUGCGUAGAGAUCUGGAGGAAUACCGGUGGCGAAGGCGGCCUCCUGGACAAAGACUGACGCUCAGGUGCGAAAGCGUGGGGAGCAAACAGGAUUAGAUACCCUGGUAGUCCACGCCGUAAACGAUGUCGAUUUGGAGGUUGUGCCCUUGAGGCGUGGCUUCCGGAGCUAACGCGUUAAAUCGACCGCCUGGGGAGUACGGCCGCAAGGUUAAAACUCAAAUGAAUUGACGGGGGCCCGCACAAGCGGUGGAGCAUGUGGUUUAAUUCGAUGCAACGCGAAGAACCUUACCUGGUCUUGACAUCCACAGAACUUAGCAGAGAUGCUUUGGUGCCUUCGGGAACUGUGAGACAGGUGCUGCAUGGCUGUCGUCAGCUCGUGUUGUGAAAUGUUGGGUUAAGUCCCGCAACGAGCGCAACCCUUAUCCUUUGUUGCCAGCGGUUAGGCCGGGAACUCAAAGGAGACUGCCAGUGAUAAACUGGAGGAAGGUGGGGAUGACGUCAAGUCAUCAUGGCCCUUACGACCAGGGCUACACACGUGCUACAAUGGCAUAUACAAAGAGAAGCGACCUCGCGAGAGCAAGCGGACCUCAUAAAGUAUGUCGUAGUCCGGAUUGGAGUCUGCAACUCGACUCCAUGAAGUCGGAAUCGCUAGUAAUCGUAGAUCAGAAUGCUACGGUGAAUACGUUCCCGGGCCUUGUACACACCGCCCGUCACACCAUGGGAGUGGGUUGCAAAAGAAGUAGGUAGCUUAACCUUCGGGAGGGCGCUUACCACUUUGUGAUUCAUGACUGGGGUGAAGUCGUAACAAGGUAACCGUAGGGGAACCUGCGGUUGGAUCACCU
Molecule: ribosomal RNA, 1528 nt
Filed under: Klebsiella pneumoniae
Lineage: Bacteria; Pseudomonadati; Pseudomonadota; Gammaproteobacteria; Enterobacterales; Enterobacteriaceae
Also listed under: 1 other name
Description: bacterial SSU rRNA
Rfam family: Bacterial small subunit ribosomal RNA
Source: RNAcentral